RNAcentral lists this ribosomal RNA (253 nucleotides) under uncultured bacterium. RNAcentral describes it as "partial 16S ribosomal RNA". It matches the Rfam family "Bacterial small subunit ribosomal RNA", at positions 524 to 776 of the family's 1533-position model. The record is from RNAcentral.
UACGUAGGGGGCAAGCGUUGUCCGGAUUUAUUGGGCGUAAAGAGCGUGUAGGCGGCCUGGAAGGUCAGCUGUGAAAACUCGAGGCUCAACCUCGAGACGUCGGUUGAAACCACCUGGCUAGAGUCCGGAAGAGGAGAGUGGAAUUCCCGGUGUAGUGGUGAAAUGCGUAGAUAUCGGGAGGAACACCAGUGGCGAAGGCGACUACCUGGCCUGUUCUUGACGCUGAGGCGCGAAAGCUAGGGGAGCAAACGGG